Molecule: unclassified non-coding RNA, 248 nt
Filed under: Ascomycota sp.
Lineage: Eukaryota; Fungi; Ascomycota
Description: partial contains small subunit ribosomal RNA, internal transcribed spacer 1, and 5.8S ribosomal RNA
Rfam family: Eukaryotic small subunit ribosomal RNA (bases 1-47)
Source: RNAcentral
AAAGUCGUAACAAGGUUUCCGUAGGUGAACCUGCGGAAGGAUCAUUACCGAGUUCCGGGUCCUUGGGCCCCUACUCCCACCCUUUGUGUACCUACCGAUUUUUCGUUGCCUCGGCGGGGUCGAUCCCCAGGGCCUUCCGGCCCUGUGGGGGACCCGCCGGGGGAACACGCCAAAACUCUUGUCAACAGUGACGUCUGAGAAACAAACAAACUAAAUUAAAACUUUCAACAACGGAUCUCUUGGUUCUG